AUUGAACGCUGGCGGCGUGCUUAACACAUGCAAGUCGAUCGGUAACAGGUGUAGCAAUACAUGCUGACGAGAGGCGGACGGGUGAGGAAUAUUUGGGAAUCUGCCCAUCAGCGGGGGACAACCCGGGGAAACCCGGGCUAAUACCGCAUACGCUCUACGGAGGAAAGCCGGGGACCGCAAGGCCUGGCACUGAUGGAUGGGCCCAAAUCGGAUUAGCUAGUUGGCGGGGUAACGGCCCACCAAGGCGACGAUCCGUAGCUGGUCUGAGAGGACGAUCAGCCACACCGGAACUGGAACACGGUCCGGACUCCUACGGGAGGCAGCAGUGGGGAAUAUUGGACAAUGGGGGAAACCCUGAUCCAGCGACGCCGCGUGGGUGAAGAAGGCCUGCGGGUUGUAAAGCCCUUUCGGUAGGGACGAAAGCUCUUGCUCUAAUAAUGCAAGAGGUUGACUUAACCUACAUAAGAAGCACCGGCUAACUCUGUGCCAGCCGCCGCAGUAA
RNAcentral lists this ribosomal RNA (502 nucleotides) under uncultured bacterium. Its description in RNAcentral is "partial 16S ribosomal RNA". It matches the Rfam family "Bacterial small subunit ribosomal RNA", at positions 29 to 523 of the family's 1533-position model. The record is from RNAcentral.